Arabis alpina (gray rockcress) is the source of this 102-nucleotide small nucleolar RNA. It matches the Rfam family "Plant small nucleolar RNA R71". From Rfam's summary of the family: R71 is a member of the C/D box family of snoRNAs containing the C (UGAUGA) and D (CUGA) box motifs. The record is from Rfam. Lineage: Eukaryota; Viridiplantae; Streptophyta; Magnoliopsida; Brassicales; Brassicaceae.
AACCCGUGGUGAGGGCAAUCCCUCUGAUAACCCUUAAAACGCUCCCACGAAGCUUUGAAUGCUUUGAUUGGUCCUUGCAUAAAAGAAGAGAUCUUCGCUGUC